This is a ribosomal RNA of Gadus morhua (Atlantic cod), 120 nucleotides long. The record is from Ensembl. Lineage: Eukaryota; Metazoa; Chordata; Actinopteri; Gadiformes; Gadidae.
GAUGACGGGCCAUACCACCCUGAACACGCCCUAUCUCGUCAGAUCUUGGAAGCUAAGCAGGGUCGGGCCUGGUUGCUACUUGGAUGGGAGACCGCCUGGGAAUACCAAGUGCUGUAAGUG